GACGAACGCUGGCGGCGUGCUUAACACAUGCAAGUCGAACGGAAAGGCCCCUUUGAGGGUACUCGAGUGGCGAACGGGUGAGUAACACGUGAGUAACCUUCCCUUGACUUCGGGAUAACUUCAGGAAACUGGGGCUAAUACCGGAUAGGAAUCCUUGCUGCAUGGUGGGGGUUGGAAAGCUUCGGCGGUUUUGGAUGGACUCGCGGCUUAUCAGCGUGUUGGUGGGGUAGUGGCUUACCAAGGCUUUGACGGGUAGCCGGCCUGAGAGGGCGACCGGCCACAUUGGGACUGAGAUACGGCCCCGACUCCUACGGGAGGCAGCAGUGGGGAAUAUUGCACAAUGGGCGGAAGCCUGAUGCAGCAACGCCGCGUGCGGGAUGACGGCCUUCGGGUUGUAAAACGCUUUCAGCAGGGGCGAAGCUUGUGGUGACGGUACCUGCAGAAGAAGCACCGGCUAACUACGUG
This 465-nucleotide ribosomal RNA is filed under the name uncultured bacterium. Its description in RNAcentral is "partial 16S ribosomal RNA". It matches the Rfam family "Bacterial small subunit ribosomal RNA", at positions 28 to 507 of the family's 1533-position model. The record is from RNAcentral.